Molecule: transfer RNA, 65 nt
Filed under: Dipodomys ordii (Ord's kangaroo rat)
Lineage: Eukaryota; Metazoa; Chordata; Mammalia; Rodentia; Heteromyidae
Rfam family: tRNA
About the family: Transfer RNA (tRNA) molecules are approximately 80 nucleotides in length. Their secondary structure includes four short double-helical elements and three loops (D, anti-codon, and T loops). Further hydrogen bonds mediate the characteristic L-shaped molecular structure. tRNAs have two regions of fundamental functional importance: the anti-codon, which is responsible for specific mRNA codon recognition, and the 3' end, to which the tRNAs corresponding amino acid is attached (by aminoacyl-tRNA synthetases). tRNAs cope with the degeneracy of the genetic code in two manners: having more than one tRNA (with a specific anti-codon) for a particular amino acid; and 'wobble' base-pairing, i.e. permitting non-standard base-pairing at the 3rd anti-codon position.
Source: Rfam by way of RNAcentral
GGUGGCUCAGUGGCAGAGCACUUGCCUUGCAUGCAUGAGACCCUGGGUUCGAUUCCUCAGCACCA